AACGAACGCUGGCGGCAGGCCUAACACAUGCAAGUCGAACGCGCGUAGCAAUACGCGAGUGGCGCACGGGUGAGUAACACGUGGGAACCAACCCAGAGGUUCGGAAUAACCGCGGGAAACUGCGGCUAAUACCGGAUAUCCCCUACGGGGGAAAGAUUUAUCGCCUCUGGACGGGCCCGCGUCCGAUUAGCUAGUUGGUGAGGUAAUGGCUCACCAAGGCGACGAUCGGUAGCUGGUCGAGAGGACGACCAGCCACACUGGAACUGAGACACGGUCCAGACUCCUACGGGAGGCAGCAGUGGGGAAUAUUGGGCAAUGGAGGCAACUCUGACCCAGCCAUGCCGCGUGGGUGACAAAGGUCUUCGGAUUGUAAAGCCCUUUCGGCGGGACGACGGUGACGGUACCCGCAGAAGAAGCCCCGGCUAACUUCGUG
Molecule: ribosomal RNA, 433 nt
Filed under: uncultured bacterium
Lineage: Bacteria
Description: bacterial SSU rRNA
Rfam family: Bacterial small subunit ribosomal RNA
Source: RNAcentral